CCAGACUCCUACGGGAGGCAGCAGUGAGGAAUAUUGGUCAAUGGCCGAGAGGCUGAACCAGCCAAGUCGCGUGAGGGAAGACGGCCCUACGGGUUGUAAACCUCUUUUGUCGGGGAGCAAAGCGAGUCACGUGUGACUCAUUGAGAGUACCCGAAGAAAAAGCAUCGGCUAACUCCGUGCCAGCAGCCGCGGUAAUAAGGAGGAUGCGGGCGUUAUCCGGAUUUAUUGGGUUUAAAGGGUGCGCAGGCGGAGGUGCAAGUCAGCGGUAAAAUUUCGGGGCUCAACCCCGUCGUGCCGUUGAAACUGGCGUUCUUGAGUGAGCGAGAAGUAUGCGGAAUGCGUGGUGUAGCGGUGAAAUGCAUAGAUAUCACGCAGAACUCCGAUUGCGAAGGCAGCAUACCGGCGCCCAACUGACGCUGAAGCACGAAAGCGUGGGUAUCGAACAGGAUUAGAUACCCUGGUA
RNAcentral lists this ribosomal RNA (463 nucleotides) under uncultured bacterium. RNAcentral describes it as "bacterial SSU rRNA". It matches the Rfam family "Bacterial small subunit ribosomal RNA", at positions 331 to 792 of the family's 1533-position model. The record is from RNAcentral.